Long non-coding RNA from Amphimedon queenslandica, 1034 nucleotides. RefSeq lists it as uncharacterized. The record is from RefSeq and is a predicted model, not a curated record. The transcript is spliced from 2 exons. NCBI's taxonomy places the organism in Eukaryota, Metazoa, Porifera, Demospongiae, Haplosclerida, Niphatidae.
GAAAAUCUCAACUAAGUAUUGCAGUUCAAUCAAGCAGAGCUAGAUAAAACUCAUAAAAGAAAUUGCAGCUCUAACUUCUGUGAGCAUGCGUGACCACACCCAAUUUUAGAGCACACGUUCCUUUUCAUUAACAAAACAGCGGAAUGAAGUAAGCUGGGCUUGGGGUAAUAGAGAGACGGCAACUUUUUUUUUAUUGUUAGAGUUAUUGGAAAAGUGGUGGACCUACACAUGGACAGUUGAUGUAGGAUAGUGUAAAAGUUAGCCUUGUAGCAUUGAUCAAAGAUCAUGAUACCCCUUCUUAACUAAUUGACAGGAGAUGUUGAUGAUGACUUAAGGUUGGUUCACAGUAUUAUGCUAGUCCUGACGUUACGUUGAUGCUGGAAUCGAAUCUGGUUCGAUUCCAGUGGAAUGCAUGCGUCAAAAGGUCAAAUUGCCCACACUUUGAUUAAAAAUUGAUGGUAUGUUAGCCUAGCGUCAUAUUGUGAACCAGUCUUAAGAUGAGAAAAAUAGCAGAACAAAACAGCCGAUUUGCCAAUUUUUGAUUUUAUUUUGAGACAAGGUUGAGAGCCACGCUAGUGGUACCAAUAAAUUUUCUUGUCAAGAUAAGGUUCUCUAAGAAGUCUGCUAAGCAUAGAAGGUCGUUUUCCUGGUACAGUAAGGCCGCAAAAGUCGUGGCAGCCAUUUUGUUUUGGGGUGAAUCCUACUUUGUAACGCUGCUGUGUUACUGAUAUUAUCUGGUGCUUGUCUGGCAAAAUUCAGUCCACCCAAGAAAGCCACUGUUAUCAAGGUUACAUUAAAAACGCCAUUGCCACGACUGAAUUGUCUUCAUCUAAUUCUCUGAUAGCGAGACAGUUAUGCAAAUAAAAAAACGUCUGGCCCUCUCUCUCUUUUGAAAUAAUGUGCAUGGAUUUUCAGGUGAAUUCAGCUGCCAACUUCAGUACUGCUGAAAAAAAUCAAAAUUGAAAGUACUUUAUUGCUUAAUUUUGUUGAUGUCAGUAAGCAAGUUUAUUAAAAUCACUUAAUUUAUUACUGAG